Molecule: ribosomal RNA, 388 nt
Filed under: Platichthys flesus (European flounder)
Lineage: Eukaryota; Metazoa; Chordata; Actinopteri; Pleuronectiformes; Pleuronectidae
Description: partial 12S ribosomal RNA
Rfam family: Bacterial small subunit ribosomal RNA
Source: RNAcentral
GCUUAGCCCUAAACAUCGAUUGCACCAUACACUCCAUAUCCGCCCGGGAAUUAUGAACGUCAGUUUAAAACCCAAAGGACUUGGCGGUGCUUAACAUCCACCUAGAGGAGCCUGUUCUAGAACCGAUAACCCCCGUUAAACCUCACCCUCUCUUGUUUUAUCCGCCUAUAUACCACCGUCGUCAGCUUACCCUGUGAAGGAUUUACAGUAAGCAAAAUUGGCACAGCCCAAAACGUCAGGUCGAGGUGUAGUGAAUGAGGGGGGAAGAAAUGGGCUACAUUUGCUAAGUAUAGCAAACACGAAUGUUGCAUUGAAACAUGCAGCUGAAGGAGGAUUUAGCAGUAAGCAGGAAGUAGAGCGUCCCGCUGAAACUGGCCCUAAAGCGCGC